Molecule: long non-coding RNA, 924 nt
Organism: Neoarius graeffei (lesser salmon catfish)
Lineage: Eukaryota; Metazoa; Chordata; Actinopteri; Siluriformes; Ariidae
Exons: 4
Source: RefSeq, a predicted model, not a curated record
UGAGAGGGGAAACCAUGAAUAAGACACUCAUUUUUCUUUUCAUACUGUCUCUCAGCCUAUCAAGGACUACUGGUGACAGGCCUAAUGCGACCUUCAAGCACCUUAUUAAUUAUCUGGAGAAGUUUCAACAUGAAACCAUCAAUGUUACUUCAAAUACCAGUCACAAUCGACAAGGGAUUUAUUGGACUUGUGAUACUUCCAUAGAGAUCUUUGAAGAGCUGAAUGCAGUCCUGGACAAGAUCAAUGGAGAUGGACUCUCUCAAAACAAACAUCAAGAACUGAAGGGAAUGAAGGAAAAUUUAAAAAUAGUAAUUGAGAAGUUUUCCCUGCAACCUGUACAGGAGGAAAAAAAGUGUUAUUCCAAAUAUUCCAGAAAGCCUUUGGGAUGGUACUACAAAAUGCUACAGUGCUUUAACCGUUCCUGCAGUGUUACUUCAAAGCAAAGUUAACUUAUUAUUCUCACUUACUGUAUAUGAAAUGACUAUUUAUUAUGAACAUGUUAUUUAUUACCCUGUAGAACAGGAUAAAGCGGCUAGAGAUAAUGAGAUGAGAUGUUAUUUAUUUAAUUCCACAUAUUUAUUUGUAUUUAUUUGUAACUUAAAAAUUUUAAAUUAUAUUUCUGCAGACAUGCACUGUCUUUGUUGAAUGUAAAAAAACAAGCAAGAAUGCAAUUUCUGUUUGAAGUGUUUUAUUAUAAUACAGCAUAUCCAGUGUUUACAGACAGAAUGGUGAGGCUAGACUUUUUAUUUCUGAGACUUAACUCAGCUGACUAUGGUCACCAUAGAAAAUUAAUUUUAUUAUGACAAGCCACUGUUUUCUUGAUACUGAAUUGAUUCAAUAGAUGCAUAAUUCUACAUUAAAAACAAUGAAUGUUGUAUACUUCUAUCACCUCUUAUAAGAGUCAAUAAAAUUUUUAUUAAUGUA